GCCGCCUUAGCUCAGCUGGUAGAGCGACGCUCUUGUAAAGCGUAGGUCAUCGGUUCGAAGCCGAUAGGCGGCU
RNAcentral lists this transfer RNA (73 nucleotides) under Cellulomonadaceae bacterium. Its description in RNAcentral is "tRNA-Thr". It matches the Rfam family "tRNA". Rfam says of the family: Transfer RNA (tRNA) molecules are approximately 80 nucleotides in length. Their secondary structure includes four short double-helical elements and three loops (D, anti-codon, and T loops). Lineage: Bacteria; Bacillati; Actinomycetota; Actinomycetes; Micrococcales; Cellulomonadaceae. The record is from RNAcentral.